UUGUCCUGGCCUUUGCUAUCUCAGCUCCCCUAUCCUCGGCUGAACAGGGGAGUCUGGCAGGACGCAGAGCAAUCUCCCUCUCAGUUUAGGGGGCCAUCUUGAGUAAAGGGCUGGCUCUUAAAGGCACAAGAGGACAAU
Molecule: non-coding RNA, 138 nt
Organism: Pteronotus mesoamericanus
Lineage: Eukaryota; Metazoa; Chordata; Mammalia; Chiroptera; Mormoopidae
Product: small Cajal body-specific RNA 11
Exons: 1
Source: RefSeq, a predicted model, not a curated record